RNAcentral lists this transfer RNA (72 nucleotides) under Candidatus Pacearchaeota archaeon. RNAcentral describes it as "tRNA-Asp". It matches the Rfam family "tRNA". From Rfam's summary of the family: Transfer RNA (tRNA) molecules are approximately 80 nucleotides in length. Their secondary structure includes four short double-helical elements and three loops (D, anti-codon, and T loops). Further hydrogen bonds mediate the characteristic L-shaped molecular structure. tRNAs have two regions of fundamental functional importance: the anti-codon, which is responsible for specific mRNA codon recognition, and the 3' end, to which the tRNAs corresponding amino acid is attached (by aminoacyl-tRNA synthetases). tRNAs cope with the degeneracy of the genetic code in two manners: having more than one tRNA (with a specific anti-codon) for a particular amino acid; and 'wobble' base-pairing, i.e. permitting non-standard base-pairing at the 3rd anti-codon position. The record is from RNAcentral. Lineage: Archaea; Nanobdellati.
GCCUCGGUAGUUUAACGGCUAGAAUAUGACCCUGUCGCGGUCAAGACCCGGGUUCGACUCCCGGUCGGGGCG